CAAGAGACAGCUACGUGAUCCAAUCGGAGCCGUCCGUUCCCCCGAACCGACUCAAUCGACGAGAGAACCCCUGUAUAAUUGCCCUCCCCUCCUCGCUAGCCUCUCUCUCCUCUCAUAGCCUGUCGCAGGCUCCUCUCCUCUUCGUUCCUUCACGUCAACUGCGAGGAUGUUGAGUUAUCCAGGCUGGUUCGGUCAUUUGUUGCCCCACAGAACAUGUUAUCUAGGCGACGGCAGUCCGACAUCUUCUGGCGAUUUGGUCGUGAACGCUGACCAAUUGAUGAGCCGGUUCAGUCAAUUUCUGUUGCCCAAUUCUUCACCAACUGAUCCAGCUAUCCAAGAGUAGUUCAUCUGGCUCCCUGGAGCAUGCUGCCACCGGUAUUUUGAGCAGCAGGAGGCCAGGUCGUACUGACCGAUUUUACUUUGAAGAACGCGACGGCCAAUGAACUGGUCACCUGGUUUAUGGUCCUGUUUGCUGACCAAAUGAUGCCCAUGCUCCAGGGUUGCACGUCAGAUAUGCUUCCCUGUCUUCAGAUCUAAGGUAAUUGUGUUGGUAAGCUGAUGUGCCGUGUUGUACUCUACAUGUAUCUAGAUUGGUAGACUAGAACGGCCUUUGCCAUGUCGGGUGCGCUCGCUUGGCAGGCCAGAAGACAAUAAAAGUACAUUUUGUUGUGUUUGCGGGGUGGAGAUCGCACGGGGAACUAUUUGUUCUAUUUUGCCCCGGGUUCUCCACCCUGCCAUUGUGUCUCCGUCUCGUGCUGGUCUGUUGAUUGUGCAACGUCCUGCAAUGUCGCUAUUCGUCUGAACUACACGGCGAUAAUUAUAUACCGAACGUUUCAAA
Long non-coding RNA from Lolium rigidum, 838 nucleotides. RefSeq lists it as uncharacterized. The transcript is spliced from 2 exons. NCBI's taxonomy places the organism in Eukaryota, Viridiplantae, Streptophyta, Magnoliopsida, Poales, Poaceae. The record is from RefSeq and is a predicted model, not a curated record.